GAUGAACGCUGGCGGCGUGCCUAAUACAUGCAAGUCGAGCGAACAGACGAGGAGCUUGCUCCUCUGACGUUAGCGGCGGACGGGUGAGUAACACGUGGAUAACCUACCUAUAAGACUGGGAUAACUUCGGGAAACCGGAGCUAAUACCGGAUAAUAUAUUGAACCGCAUGGUUCAAUAGUGAAAGACGGUUUUGCUGUCACUUAUAGAUGGAUCCGCGCCGCAUUAGCUAGUUGGUAAGGUAACGGCUUACCAAGGCAACGAUGCGUAGCCGACCUGAGAGGGUGAUCGGCCACACUGGAACUGAGACACGGUCCAGACUCCUACGGGAGGCAGCAGUAGGGAAUCUGCCGCAAUGGGCGAAAGCCUGACGGAGCAACGCCGCGUGAGUGAUGAAGGUCUUCGGAGCGUAAAACUCUGUUAUUAGGGAAGAACAAAUGUGUAAGUAACUAUGCACGUCUUGACGGUACCUAAUCAGAAAGCCACGGCUAACUACGUG
This 497-nucleotide ribosomal RNA is filed under the name uncultured bacterium. RNAcentral describes it as "partial 16S ribosomal RNA". It matches the Rfam family "Bacterial small subunit ribosomal RNA", at positions 28 to 507 of the family's 1533-position model. The record is from RNAcentral.